GAGACACCGUUUUGGGGCAAGACUUGCUUCAGUGGGGCUUUGGUGCUCACUGAGUCUGCCCCCUGAGCGUGUCCGU
This 76-nucleotide microRNA precursor is filed under the name Myotis lucifugus (little brown bat). RNAcentral's name for it is "mir-9229 microRNA precursor family". It matches the Rfam family "mir-9229 microRNA precursor family". Lineage: Eukaryota; Metazoa; Chordata; Mammalia; Chiroptera; Vespertilionidae. The record is from Rfam by way of RNAcentral.